CUUAGCUUACUCACCCUUAGUUUCCUUUUCACCCAUUUCCACAUAUUUUAUGUAUUUUCAUAAAAUGACUCAGCCUUUUGGGAAAUUAGGUGUGGUAUAACAUAAUAGAAGGAAAAAAUGGAGAAUGAUAUACUACAGAAACUACCGUGUUGAUACAUACAAAGAAAGGCUCUUUUAAAAGCCCAGAGUAUGUCAUGCUGAGCAUCAUCCUUGAAAACAGCAAGAUCGACUAGAGGGAGAAGAAAUGUGGCUAAAAGAUGGAAAGGAUCGAGUCCUGAUGUUUGUCCCUGUUUCUGUUGAAGUCAUUCUGUGACCUAAAAUCAUUUCUGAUCACUAGGUUUCACAAUUAUUGACAGAGAAUACCUACUGUACUCUGUUCAAUUACUUUAUCUGUUAAAAUUUCACAUCAGUAAUAACCCUAACUUUUACAAAUUCUAAGCAAGAUCUUUGAAAUCUUCCCAUUUGAGUUCAGGCACAUCACUAUAGGCUGGUUUUGGGAGAUAGCAAAAAAAGAGAAAGAAUGAGCUAUUCCAUUCCCAGGAGUACUGUGUACUGGGUCGGAAUGGGGAAUUGUAUCACUGUAUGCUGAACUUUUGGAAUGCCCACAGCAUAAAUUCUGACAAUGUCAGUGUAUUUGAAUGAACACAAAUUUCAAAGUUGAGUAGUUUGUUGGAUGUGGUGGUCUCUCAGCAUUCUACUUUCCCAUUAUUUUAUACCUCUUGUUCAUUUAAUUGGGAAUUAACUGUGGUUUAAAUCUAUGAAAAAUAUCUUGGGCAUAUGGAGAAAGAACAAAUGUCCAAAGUUGCCUUUUUAAAAGUGUUUCAUUUUUUUAAAUUGACAAAUAAAGUUAUAUAUAUCUAUCAUGUACAACAUGAUGUUUCAAAAUGUAUAUACAUAGUAGAAUUCCUAACCCAAGCUAAUUAACAUGUGCAUUACCUUACAGAGAUUUUAAGUGUUCUCACCACAAAAAAAAACUAUAUAAGGUUAUGCAAAGUUGACUUUUAUCUUAACUAUUUACAAUGUAUAUAAAAGUAUGACAGUAUAUGUACAAGUCUUAAAGUCCUAAAUAUCCUUUUAAAAAAUGCAAAGAUUCCAUAUAAUUCCUGAGCUUUCCUCAUGUAUAUUGCUAUACAACUUCAGGAAAAAUGUCAUACCAACUAUUUCUGUAUCUAAACAGAUUUCCCAACAAAAAGAAAAAAGAGCAAGUUGUCUCAGGAACAAUGGUAGGACAUAAGUUAUCUGACUGUAUCACUUGGGAUUGAAAAUUAAAGGCCUGUUUCCAUAAUGGAACUAUUUUGAGGAAUUGACAUUACUGCCGUAACAACAAAUAAUUCACAGGUAUCUUUAACUGACUCUAAAGCCUCUAGAUACUGAAUUAGAUGAUGUACACUUCCAAUAAAAGAGAAUAGGCUGCAUCUUGCUGCUUCAGCUAAUUGUGGAUUUUUAUUUCAUGUUUUAUUAGAGGGAGUAUCAUAAUCCUUUCUUUCCAUCCAUUCCAUAAUCCAUCCUUUCCAUGUUGGGUCAAAUUUUCUUAUCCUAACCUGAAAUACUGCUUUUGUUUCACACUCUGCCCAGGUAUUAAGGGAAUAACUAAGAUUCAGGUAGUCAUUUUACUAGAAAGUCAUUUAAAUGAUGUGUUCAAAAAAGAGGUCACUUACCUAACUUAACCAUCACCACAAGUGGAAGAGAUGUCUGAAUUGGUAACUCCUUUCGCCAAUUUUCUUGUAAACAAUGUCACACAAAUGAAUCUGAACACAAAUACUGUCUCUAUAUAAAUGUGCUUGUACAUAUAUGCAUACACUGACAGCAACUCAUGAAUUAUUAAAUUAGCAAGGAACACAUUUUUCACCUAAGUUUAUUAGUCAUCAUUUUUUAAUGAUGCCUCUACACUCACUUGGAGCUGCCUCCUGGUCUUACUUUUUUAAAGUUUAAACAUUAUAACAUUGUUUUGGGACUACCAUGGAUAAAAAUAAAAUAUAAAUACAAAUAAGUAUAAAUACAAUGUAUAUAAAUUAUAUAUAUGUGUGUCUGUGUGUAUAUAUAUAUAUAUAUGUGUGUGUGUGUGUGUGUGUGUGUGUGUGUAUGUAUGUAUAAUCAUCCACAAAGAGUGAUGGGGGAUAAAUGAAAACAAACUGUUGCAAAGCAAAGUUUCCAUAUUUUAUAAGUAGAAAAACUAACUCUAAGUAGAUUGGAAUAAAUAUACAUAUUAUAAUCCCUAAUAACACCCCUAAAAUGAAUGUACAGUACUUAAAUGACCAUAAAGAGAUUAAAAUGAAGGACUAAAAAAUAUUUGAUUAACCCAGAAGAAAGCAUGAAGGGAAAAACAGAGCAGAAAAAAAAACC
Molecule: long non-coding RNA, 2343 nt
Filed under: Homo sapiens (human)
Lineage: Eukaryota; Metazoa; Chordata; Mammalia; Primates; Hominidae
Description: HSALNT0408385
Source: RNAcentral